GUGGGGAAUAUUCCGCAAUGGACGAAAGUCUGACGGAGCAACGCCGCGUGAGUGAUGAAGGUUUUCGGACUGUAAAGCUCUGUUGUUUAGGACGAAAGUGCCUGUUGCGAACAGUUACAGGUAUUGACGGUACUAAACGAGGAAGCCACGGCUAACUACGUGCCAGCAGCCGCGGUAAUACGUAGGUGGCAAGCGUUGUCCGGAAUUAUUGGGCGUAAAGAGCAUGUAGGCGGGAAUCUAAGUCUGUUGUGAAAAUGCGGGGCUCAACCCCGUAUUGCGAUGGAAACUGGGUUUCUUGAGUGCAGGAGAGGAAAGGGGAAUUCCCAGUGUAGCGGUGAAAUGCGUAGAUAUUGGGAGGAACACCAGUGGCGAAGGCGCCUUUCUGGACUGUGUCUGACGCUGAGAUGCGAAAGCCAGGGUAGCGAACGGGAUUAGAAACCCGAGUAGUCC
Molecule: ribosomal RNA, 450 nt
Filed under: uncultured bacterium
Lineage: Bacteria
Description: partial 16S ribosomal RNA
Rfam family: Bacterial small subunit ribosomal RNA
Source: RNAcentral